AUUGAACGCUGGCGGAAUGCUUUACACAUGCAAGUCGAACGGCAGCACGGGGGCAGCCCUGGUGGCGCGUGGCGAACGGGUGAGUAAUACAUCGGAACGUGCCCGGCCGUGGGGGAUAACGUAGCGAAAGUUACGCUAAUACAGCAUACGAUCUGAGGAUGAAAGCGGGGGACCUUCAGGCCUCGAGGGAUCGGCGCGGCCGAUGUCAGAUUAGGUAGUUGGUGGGGUAAAGGCCUACCAAGCCGACGAUCUGUAGCUGGUCUGAGAGGACGACCAGCCACACUGGGACUGAGACACGGCCCAGACUCCUACGGGAGGCAGCAGUGGGGAAUUUUGGACAAUGGGCGCAAGCCUGAUCCAGCCAUUCCGCGUGCAGGACGAAGGCCUUCGGGUUGUAAACUGCUUUUGUACGGAACGAAAAGGCUCUGGCUAAUACCUGGGGCUCAUGACGGUACCGUAAGAAUAAGCACCGGCUAACUACGUG
RNAcentral lists this ribosomal RNA (484 nucleotides) under uncultured bacterium. Its description in RNAcentral is "partial 16S ribosomal RNA". It matches the Rfam family "Bacterial small subunit ribosomal RNA", at positions 29 to 507 of the family's 1533-position model. The record is from RNAcentral.